CGCAAAUUGCAGGGGAAUCACCACAAAGCAGCUUCCAUUAAUGAAAAUUAACGGCAAAAUUGGGAAUAACAGAAGUAUAUAAUUUGAUAUAAUCAAAAUCUAGAAAUGGUUCCGAUUUAAAGCAGCGACAGCAGCAACAUGAUAAAGGUAAAGAGCAUGAAUGAAAAGCAAAACUGAAAGUGAAAUUCAGCGGUUUUGUGAUAACAAAUGGAUCAGUACCUCCUGGUGAAGGGGAAGUUUUGUUGGACAGGGACAGGGUCAACCUGGGUGAUGCCGCUGAUUUCGUUGAGUCCGAGGGAGUGGAGCAUAUCCAUGGUUUCCUUGUCCACCUCGAUGUGCUCGGUGUUGAUGGCGGAGAUUUCGGGAACGAAGUCCAUGCGUCGCUCCCUCUCCUCCUCCUGCAGCUUGAGCGAGAUGCCGCGAACAGAACCCUUCUGGAUCCGUUUCAUGAGAUGUGUUGAGAAACCUGCGAUCUUGUUCCGCAGCCUCUUCGAGGGGACGAUCGCCACUUCUUCUAGAAGCUUCUUGUUCGUGUGAAAAUCCAGCGUCAUCCUCGAAUAGUAACGCUCGAUCACUUGGCGUGAAGAUUUCUUCACCGUCUUAGUCCUCACGCGCCCCAUGCUUCUUCUUCUUCUUUCUUCUUCUUCUUCCUCUCUGCGGCUUCUCUUCUCUUCUCUUGCAGUGUUACUUCAAAUUUAGGUUUACAUAUUUUAUCCCAAACUUGGGCUUUCUUACUUUGGGCUUCAACUUUUCAAAAAAUAUAUACAUUACUUUGUUUCUUCCUGUACCCCUUUUCUAUUCUUAUGUCACUCUCAUAAUUUAAAAAUAUAUAGGUUUUUUUUUCCUAUUUGUUUUUUGGAUUAAACUUUUUGAAUAAUACAAUUGAUGGUUAGAAGGUUAAUAAAUCUAAAUUUGUUAUAAAAUAAGGGUAUAUUUUCGUUAUAAAUUUUGGAAUAGUAGAUUUGGAAUUAUUUUUUCAUUUAGAUAACUUAAAUAAAUAUUUUUUUUACUUUUGUAACUUGGAUCAUGCAUACAUAGUUAACUCAAGUAAAAAUAGUUAAAUCAAUUUGACAGGUGAAUGUAAAUAAUAAUAUUGAAUCGUUUAAAUCAUUUUAACGCAAAUAUUAUAUGUAAUAAAUAGAAAUUAAAAAUAAGAAUUUAUACAAAUCAUAAUUAGAAGUAAGAAAUGAGCAUUAUAUUAGAAAGAACAAUUGAAAAAGAAAAGAAACUCAGAAUGAUGAACUCCAAAUAUUUACACUAGAAUAUAUUUUUUUUAUCAGAUAAUCUAUAAUAAAAUAUGAGAAUGUGAAAUAAAGGAUUAAUUGCAAAUAGAAAUAGUUAAUUUUAAUAAUAAUGUAUGAUACUUGUUUUGUAUAUGAGUUCAUUUGAAAUAUAAUGUUUUAUUUAUGUAACAUGACAUUAACACUAUUAAAAUACAAACAAAAAAUUAAAAACUGCUUCACAAAAAAAACAGUGACUAUGAAAAUGGUUCGAUUUGAUAUUUUUAAACUAAUUGGGGUCACACUAUUAAAUUGCAAAUUCUAGUAGUUUUUCUUUACGAAUAGUGGUGAUUAAAAGUUGUAACAAUUGUUAUCAUUUUGAAAAUAUAAAAUCACAUUAGCAAAACACAAAUUUAAAAAUAGAUGGAAAAUAAUACGAAUUCCCAGUACGUUUAUUCUUGCUUUUAAAAAUAAUUUUCAAAUACUCAUACAGAAAAAAAAAAUAUACAUCUUUUUUUAUUGGUUUUUAUAUAAAAUUUUUAAAAAGGGAUAAAAAAAGAACAAUUAUUAACUUAUGAUUAGCUUUUACAUUAUUAUUGAAAAGUGUAUUAUAUUAUUCCUUUUAGCAAAGAUUAAUUUUAAAUAUAUUUUCGGUAGUAUUAAUUAAUAUUGAGUUAUAAACAUAAUUUAUUUAUACUUAAAAGCUUUAAUUAUAAUUUUUUUUUUGGAUUAAAAUUAUGAAUAAAUUCAUUCUCUUAAAUAGGAUUCUUCUUCUAAUUUAGUUUACUUGUAUCUUAACUAAUUUUACUGGUAAUAUUGUAUUUGUAGUCAUAGUGGACGGACGGUCUAGUGGUUAAAUAGGGUAAAUGGUCAAGUAACUUAAGAAAGCAAAUCAGUAACAUCACGUGUAAUUAAGAUGAAGGUGUAAAAAGAGUAUGGUGUGAAUAUUUUAAACUAGACAAUUUGAAGGAAGUUUUUACUACACCAAUGCAUGAGUUUGAUAGGAGCGCCUACUGAUGUGACUGAGCCUUUGAUAAAUCAAGUUCAAGUGGCUUUUCUGAAUUACAAUGCAAAAAAUUGAGUAAAAAAAUAUUUAAUAAAAUCUACAAUAUCUCAUAAACAGAUUGAGAAACAUAUCAGUUGACAAAAUAAGAAGAAACAAAAUUGCAACAAAACUAGAAACAAAAUAUAAAAAUUCUAGAGAGUUGGAAACUAAGAAUUCAUCAAUAAUAUUUGAACCACGAUCAAAUUCCGAAAUCCAUGGAGCAAAGAAACUUAUAAUUACAGAUGUGGGAGGUAAUUCUCAUAUUGGAGCGUCAACUAUUCCGCCUACCAUUGUUGGAAUUAAUUCUGAUCAUAUUGAAAAUCAGGUUGUUUCAAAAUUUUGGGCUGACUCUACUGAGAUGGAGGAGGAUGAUAGUGAUAAUGGGGAAGAAACAGUUCGCACUAAAAGAAAACCAGGGAGACCACCUAAGGGGACUGGUAAAUCCAGGAAAACUGCUAAGGCAGUUCUCUCUACAACGUCGCAAUGAAGGUCUCUUCUUUUUUUUGGAAUGUCAGAGGAUUGGGAAACCACAAAACUGUGGAGAUGUUGCUUAGUUUACUUAAGCUACAUAAACCUCUCCUGGUUUUUCUUGCUGAACCCAUGAUGUCGUACACUACUGCUUUUGACGUCCUUUUCAAAUCUGUCAAUAUGCAUUUGGUGGCUACAUCUCCUAUUGUUAAUAAAGUUGCUAAGCUUUGGUGUUUGUCAGUUCCUAAUCUUGUCCAAAAUUUCUUGGUUAAUGAUCAAUUUAUCUCUGUAACUUGUCUUUGGCAGGAUAAAAGUUUUAGCUUUGCAGGUGUUUAUGGUGCUAACACAUACUUGUCUAGACGAUUUUUGUGGAGGGAUCUUAGUUUCUUCACAGGGCCUUGGUGUAUUCUGGGAGAUUUUAAUGUUGUGCUCUCGGCGGAUGACUAUAAAGGGGGAGUGGCUCCUAAUCAGGUUUCUUGUAAUGAAUUCCUGGAUUGGAUUAAUACUAAUGAUCUUUCUUGUAUGCCUUUUACUGGAUCUUGUUAUACUUGGUGUAACGGAAGGAGAGGGUGGCAUANNNNNNNNNNNNNNNNNNNNNNNNNNNNNNNNNNNNNNNNNNNNNNNNNNNNNNNNNNNNNNNNNNNNNNNNNNNNNNNNNNNNNNNNNNNNNNNNNNNNNNNNNNNNNNNNNNNNNNNNNNNNNNNNNNNNNNNNNNNNNNNNNNNNNNNNNNNNNNNNNNNNNNNNNNNNNNNNNNNNNNNNNNNNNNNNNNNNNNNNNNNNNNNNNNNNNNNNNNNNNNNNNNNNNNNNNNNNNNNNNNNNNNNNNNNNNNNNNNNNNNNNNNNNNNNNNNNNNNNNNNNNNNNNNNNNNNNNNNNNNNNNNNNNNNNNNNNNNNNNNNNNNNNNNNNNNNNNNNNNNNNNNNNNNNNNNNNNNNNNNNNNNNNNNNNNNNNNNNNNNNNNNNNNNNNNNNNNNNNNNNNNNNNNNNNNNNNNNNNNNNNNNNNNNNNNNNNNNNNNNNNNNNNNNNNNNNNNNNNNNNNNNNNNNNNNNNNNNNNNNNNNNNNNNNNNNNNNNNNNNNNNNNNNNNNNNNNNNNNNNNNNNUCCAUGCUGUGGUCAUGAGCAGGACUUCAUCAAUAGUGGGAUUCAUCGUCUACGGAUUGAUAAUGAGGUUACGGAGGAUCCUAAAAUCAUUAAGGAUCAUAUUUUGGACUUUUAUAAAAAUCUUUAUGCUGAGUCUAUUUCUAAUGUUCUGAAUGCUGAUAAUAUGGAAGAUUUUAUUGGUACUUAUAUUCCUCCUAUGGUUUCCUCUGAGGAGAAUAUGAUGUUGAUUAAAUGUCCUGAUUUUUCUGAAAUCAAGAAUGCGGUUUUUCAUCUUAACGGUAAUAGUGCUCCUGGUCCUGAUGGUUUUGGUGGUGUUUUCUAUCAUUCUUGCUGGGAAAUUAUUGGGACAGAUGUUUGUAAUGCUGUUCAACAAUUUUUUAAACAAAAUUGGGUUCUCCUUGGAAUGAACAGUAAUGUGGUAUCUCUUAUUCCUAAGAUUCAGGGUGCUGAUUCCAUUAAAGAUUACAGGCCAAUUGCUGUUGCUAAUUUCAAAUUUAAAAUUAUUUCCAAGAUACUGGCGGAUAGGCUUGCUCUUGUGGCUGCUAGAAUCAUUUCUCCUAAUCAAUAUGGGUUUGUGCAGGGUAGACAGAUUCAGGAUUGCAUUGGUAUUGCUUCUGAGGCUAUUAAUAUGCUUUCUAAAAAGGUUAGAGGAGGUAAUGUGGCUUACAAAGUUGAUAUUCAUAAAGCUUUUGACACUCUGAGUUGGAAGUUCUUAUUAUUAGUUUUGAAACGCUUUGGUUUUCACCCCUCGUUUGUCAGUUGGAUUAGUACAAUUCUCCGUUCAGCUAUGCUUUCUAUCAGAAUAAGUGGUAGUUUGGUGGGUUUUUUUCCCUGCAGUCGAGGUGUAAGACAAGGUGAUCCAUUGUCUCCUUUACUUUUUUGUCUUGCAGAGGAAGUUCUUAGUAGAGGUAUUUCUAAGCUUGUGAAUGAUAAGAAGAUUUUAAAUAUGGCUAGUCCGAAAGGUUAUCUCACUCCCUCUCAUAUUUUGUAUGCUGAUGACAUUUUUAUUUUCUGUAGGGGGGAUAUUAAGUCUCUUCGAAAUUUGAGUACUUUUCUUAAAACAUAUGGUGAUUUUUCUGGUCAAUAUAUUAAUAACUCUAAAAGUAGUUUCUUCACCAUGGAUAAUUCUCCAAGAUUUGUCACCAAAAUUCAAAAUAUUCUUUCUUGUAGUCAUGGUUGUUUGCCUUUCAAUUAUUUAGGAGUGCCUAUCUUUGUUGGUGCUCCAAAGUGUCGAUUUCUUCAACCUUUGACGAUAAAGUCAAAUUGAAGCUAGCAUCUGGAAAGNNNNNNNNNNNNNNNNNNNNNNNNNNNNNNNNNNNNNNNNNNNNNNNNNNNNNNNNNNNNNNNNNNNNNNNNNNNNNNNNNNNNNNNNNNNNNNNNNNNNGGGAAAUGCAUGUGCUGAUAAGUUGGCUAAUUUAGGGUUCAUUCAUAGACAAUCAUUUCAUUGGUAUAAUAGACUUCCAUCUAGUCUGUUCUUAGAAUUCUUUAUGAAUAGGUAUAGUCUACCUAUGUUUCGUUUUUGUUAACAUGUGGGUUUUGGUCUAGUCCCCCCAUAUUUUUGUAUUUUCUUUCUUUUUUCUUUUUUUAAUAAUACUUUUUUCAUGUGAUGGCAGAUGAUUGUUGUUACUUGAGAUGUCAGCCUAGCCGAGAUGUCAAGUUGCAUAGUGAUGCCUAACAUGAAAAAUUUUCAUUAAAAAAAAAAAAUCACAAAUCGUAUUAAUUCCCACUCUGGGAUAAGUUCAUAAAAUAGAGUCUUAGUUUUUUCUUUGUUUUCUUAUUGUCUUUUUUGUAAUUCUUUCAUUUUUCUUCCGUAUGGAAGGUUAAACUCUAUUAGUGUAAUUCUCUUAUAAUUUCACUAUUAAUUUUGAGGUUAUUGUUCAAUAAAGUUUUGUUUUAAAUAUUUUUUACCAAAUUAUACUAGACGAUAUGAUCUUUUUGAAUUUUGGUUUCUGUUAAGGAAUUGUGUUUUCAUGCUUGUUGAGUAUUUGGUUCUUUUCUUUAAUUGGAGUUCUUACUUAGUUCACUUAAUUCUAAUCAAUCUCUUGUUUGCUUAAUUUAAGAGGUAGAAGAUAAACAUUUCACGAGCAGACACUUAGAGACAAGUGAGAUACUGAAUAUGUCAAUAGACACUUAUUCUGUUGAUAAGAUUCUAUAGAAUUUGAUUGAGACUAGUUUGAUUAAGUUCAACUUUGUUUGAGAAUUGAAAGAAUCAUCAUCUUAUGUUAACCGAUGAAAGAUUCAAUGCUGAAAGAAAUUCCUAAUCAACCUGUUUUCUCUAUCAGUUUAUCCCGUCUUUUUACAUUAUCUGCUAAACAAUCUCAACAUUUUUUUCAAUUUACUGUUUUUGAUAACUUUUAAUGAUUGCAGAUAAAUUUUGAACAUUGAUUAAUUGAAUUCACUAUUGAAUUAAUUGACAAACUACUUGGAGUCAACUAAUUCUAUCUAUUAUAUCAUCUUUUAAUAUUAAACAAUCUAGCAUUGUGUUAGACAAUCUAUACUGGAAUUAUUUUUAUUUUGAUUGUAAAGGGACAUCCAUCAAAUUUGGCAUUGUUGUCGAGAAAUUCAGUUUGAAUUUGGUCCUCAAUUUUCCAAUUCACCUACAAUUUUUCUACAUUUCCUUAUUUAUCUGCAUAAUUUUUAAUUUUCUUUUUUUUUAUGUUUUACAUUCUACUUGUACAGAGCUUUUUCAAUUUUUGCAUUAAUCACAAUAUUAUAAAAAAAAAUAGUCUUUAAUAUAUACUCAUUCUUUAGGAACGUCUAAUAGGUUAUGAUAUGUUUAUACAAAUGUGUGUUUAUCUAGAGCAUGACUAGAACAAAUCCAGGUGAAUUACAUUUAUUUGAUCCAUAAAUUAAAUUUGCAUACCAUAGGCUAGCUAGACAACUUAGUAUACUUAAUCUUUUUAUUGAUAGACAAUAUAGCUAUAGAGCAUAUAAUUGUUUUUCAUCACCUAUUUCUACUUAUUAUGGAAUAGAAACUGAUAUUAUGGCUAAAAGAAAAUUGAGAGAACUUAUUGCACUAGAAGUUUCCAUUCAGACCUUAUGUAUUCAAUAUCCUGAUUCAAAUGUGCAAUGUGAAUUAAAAUUUGGUUUAAUACAUUUAUUGCCUAAGUUUCAUGGUCUAGUAAGUGAAAACAUACAUAAGCACCUCAAGGAAUUUCAUAUCGUAUGCACCACCAUGAGACUGUCUAGAGUCCUAAAAGAACACAUUAAGAUGAAGGAAUUUCCCUUCUCUUUGCAUGACACAACAAAAGACUAGUUCUACUAACUUACACUAGGAUCCGUCACUGGGAAAAUUUGAAAAGAACACUCUUGGAAAAAAAAUUCCCUACGUCUAAAGUGACUGGGAUUCGGAAGAAGAUAUGUGGGAUAAGGAAAUUGGAUAGGUGAAACCUAUAUAAGUAUUAGGAAAGAUUCAAGAGACUCUGUACAAGUUGCUCAUACCACCAAAUUCUUGAGAAAUUGCCAAUCCAGUACUUUUAUGAAGGACUAACAAUAAUGGAUAGGUAAAUGAUAGAAACUACUAGUGGAUGAACUUUAUUGUAUAAGAUUCCAGCUACAACUAGACAAUUAAUUCAGAACAUGGCUUCAAAAAUAGUUCAACAUUAGAAGUAACUUUGCAAUAGUAACUAAAGGGGUCCAUGAGACGGGGACUAUGUGUGUUGAUCACUCAAAGUUGGAAACGAAGCUAAAUUAUAUAGUGUCUAUGGUAAAACAACUAGUCAUGUCUCAAACAAUUGCUAAGGUAUGUGGUAUUUGUACUUUUAAUAAUCAUUAUAGCUUAAUGAAGGAGUAGUACUUAGUGCCCUCAAGCAUAGCCUACCAACAUUAACAAUAAUAGUAUAAUGUCCACUGGAUUUCAUUUUAACAGUAGAUUGUCUAAUUGAUGUGACUUGAUUUUAGAAUUGCAUAUGGUAUAGGUUUCACUUUGUUUAUGAUUUUUGAAUUAAGUAGAAUAUGGUGAUGAGCUCAAAGAAGAUUGUCAUUGGACACGAACUUAACCAAGUGGUUAAGUAAGUGUAAAGGUUAUCUUCUAAAGAGCAAAAGAGAAAACACAAUAUAAGGUGAAGAUGAUGAUGAUUGCGGAAUUAAAGAGCAUAAGAUAGAAAUGACCAAAUGUGAAAAGAGAAAUAAAGAACAUGAAUGGAAAGACAAGGCGUAAAUGAAGGAAGGAAAAAGAGAAAGAGUGAAAGAAGCUUAUGGAGGAGAUGACUAUGGAGGGGUCACACCACUUGGAAUGGUGGAUGGUUCCAAGAUGGGUGGUGAAGAGCCUCCACUUGAGGUGCACUACACUUAAGAUAAGACUUAAAUUCUAGGAAACUCGGCUUACUAAACACUCUGACAUAGUUUCUUUUCUAUUCAAAAUUUAAUGUGUCAUUUACAAGAGGGAAGGAACCCUAUUUAUAGAUAUGAGUGCCUUAGAGAGGAAGACAUGAAGGGUAGGGGUGUAAAUGACUACAAGCUUCUAGAAACUAGGUUAAAUGUGAGCACAUGGGGGAGUCUUCUAGAAUCUAGGUCAAAGGUGAGCACAUGGGUGAGUUUCUAGAAGCUAGGUUAAAAUGAGCUUUGGCACAAGUCCAAUUUACUAAGUACACCCUUUUCUAGCUUAAUUUUCUAAUUGAAGCUCAAAGUGAGCCCAAUUUAUUUACUUAACUUGUCUUGUAAGAAGACUACAAGGAAGAAUAGUUGAUAUUUUGGUUCAUGUUCGGUUCUCCUUCUGUUCAGAUUUGGUGGGCCUUGUCUUGUAUGUUGAGAUGACUGACCUAGUUGUGAAGAAUUUGUGGUGUCCUUAGCCAUUUGUUUGUCGAGUUGGUUUGUAUCACUAAUCAACAACAAUAAUAUAACCAUGAUCUGUCAUCCAAUAAAUACAACCCAGGUUGGAGGAAUCAUCCUAAUUUAAGUUGGGGCAAUAACUUAUCACAACAAUAGAAAUAAGCUCACGUGGCAUAUAAAUAAAAUGUUAUUAAACCUCCUUAAAAUAUAGCCUUUGCAUUUACGCCAACAAUUGCAACCACUGAUGUUAUAUCAUCCAAGAAUGGACUUUCCCUAGAAGACAUGAUGAAGUAGAAGGUUGAGCACAACAUGAAUUUCCAUUAGAGAAUGAAGAUAACCAUUUAGAACCUCAAAAAUCAUAUUGGUUAAAUUGCCACUAGUGUAAACUAGAUGGAAUCUCAAGGGACCAACAAGUUGUCUUCCCAGACAGUUAUCAACCUAAAAAAUAUUAGUGUAAUUAUGUUGAGAUUAUGGAAGAAUAUGUAAGAAUCACAACAAGUUGAGACUUAUAGCGCUAGACGAUAUGGCCAAACGGUCUAGUGAGUCUAAUACAACUGUAGAGGAACCUGAACAAAAAAGAGUUAUGUCUACUCCUCAGAGAAGUUCAACUUCUCUUUCAUUCUCUAAAAUAGUGAAUUCCAUAUCAUAACUCAAAUUUUGCUAAUAAAAAUUAGAACUCUGACAAUAGAGACCAACCAUCUACUAGUAAAAAAGAACCGUCUAUCAGUUUGGAACCCUCAUCUUUUUCCAUAGAGGUUUAAAUUAAUAAAGAGAUUUUGGAAACCUUCAGGAAGGUAAAGGUAAACAUUCCUCUACUGGACUAUAUUAAAUAAAUCCCAAAGUAUGCCAAAUAUUUAAAGGAUCUAUACACAUAUAGAUGUGUCUAAAAGGUAAUGAGAAAGUUAACAUGACCAAGAAUGUAUUUGCACUUAUUCUGAAAUGUAGGGCUGAAAUUCCAUAAAAAUGAAAAGAUCCAGGAGCAUUCAUUAUUCCUUGCAUCAUAGCAAUAACACAUUUGAACACAUUAUACUUGAUUUAGAAGCAUCUAUCAAUAUUAUGCCUUUAUUUGUUUUCACUUCCUUCUUUCUUGACCUUUUGGAAACUACAUGUGUUGAAAUCUGGUCAAUAGGAACAUAGUCCAUCCUACAAGACUUAUAUAUUAUGUGUCCAACCUAGCAUGUCACACAAUAGCAAUACACAAAGUUCACUUUCUCCUCUGUCCAUCUCUCAUUAUUCCUCCUUCAUCCUUAUUUCUCCUGUUGCAAGAUCCACUUACAAUAUAAUUCCACAUCUACUUUUGUCCUGUUUUUCAUAUCUAUUCUCCCAGGUACUAAAUUGCUACCCUCCAAUUAGGUAUUGCCUUUCUUUAUAUCUCUAUACGCUAGUUGUGCGAAUAGAUAAGUUUAUGUCAUUGGUAUGUUAAUACUCAGUUAUCCUAAGCCAUUAGUGGAUGUUUCUAAAUUUUUAUUUUGUUUCUCUUUUAUACCUUAUAGUCUACGUAACAACCCUUAUGACAAUACUUUCUCUCACUCUAAUGCAUCACUAAACUCCGAUAAAUAUAUAUAUAUUUUUUCAAUGACCGAUUAUAUUUUUGACAUAUAACUUGGAUACUUUUGCCUAGUCAUGUCCCUUUAUAUGUCAUCUCUUCAUAGAUUUUAUGUGAUGUACAUGAAUGUACCAAUCGAAGUAUGUGAAACUCGUCUUCAAAAAUUUGUGUUUUAUCCAUGUUCACACCCUCAUCUAUUGGUUACUAAACACAUUUUUCCUAUCAACCUUCUCAUUUCUACAUACAACAUUAUUCUUUUGAUCUCAUAGACUCCAAAUGACAGCUACCCACAUCCUUUUCCAUGUCAUAUUUCUUCUACCAUUAAGCUCAAAUAGAUAACAUUGUUGAAAGUUUUCUAUAGCUUGAUUAUGAUGCACUUACCCCUACACAUUUAUCACACAUGUUCCACUACCUAAUAACCACGUUACAGCCAAAGAACAAAUGACUAAUUGUUUCCUCCAUCUCUUCACACAUUGCACAUUGCUAAUUUGUUAUAUGAUUUAAGUUUACCCUAGUAACCACAACAUUUAGCAUUUCCCUCUAUGUAAAAGCUUGUGUUGAAGGCAGAGCAUUUACCUUCUGGAACAUAAUGAAUAAUCCUAUUCAUCCCCACUGUUAUUGCUCUACAGCCUUAGAUAAGCUAACUUUACCUUGUAUAAUUCAUCCUUUUCCUCUAUCCACACUCAAGUAUCCUCAUUUUCCCUUCCUAAAGAAUUCCUUUAUACCUUCUAUGAAAAAGUUAAUUCAUUCAAGUUAGUUGUUGGUUUCUUGUAUAAACUAUCGGCGAAUGAUCCAAAUUGUAGCAUUGUCACCAAGUGAUGCAUGGCCACCUCGAGACUCAAAUUCUGGAUAUUCAAAGAUAACUUACUGAACCUUUUUAUGAAAGUUUGAAGUGACUCACCUUUUUCUUGUCGUAUAUUGACGAGUGCAAUGGAUGUUAGAUGAUGUGGUCGACUGAUUGUGAAUUGAGUGUCAAACAUGGAUAAAAGUGUUAUAAAGCAAUCCACCAAGCAAUGGGGAAGCGUGGUAAACCAAUUGAGUGCCCAUCCUUUUACUGAGGUCGAGAAUACUCGGCACGACACCGAGUUGCCAGAUGUAUAAAGACUCAUUUGAGUUUUAUACACAUCCAUGUGCUUGUCCAAAUAUGUGGUUCUAUCAUUUAGAUCAAUGUUCAGCCAUUUUCAAUUAGGAGGAAGUUGUGCUUCCAUGAUCUAAUCAGAGAAGGGAUAUCCCUUAGGUUUUUCUUAAAAAACAAGAGUGCGUUCUGAUUGAUAGUGUCUAGAGGAUUGAUGAGUCUGAGUUCGAAUAAUGGUAGUCUUCUGAUUUUGUGUAUCCUCGGAUUUUUUCGGGGAGGCUUGUCUUCCACCUUCCGGAUCCAACCCUUGAGGCCCUGGUCCGGGUGGUGGUUUUAUCACUUUUGGGUCUGGCUUUCGUUGCCCUGGUCCGAGUGCGAUCCCAGCUAAUUGUUGCUUCAUUUGAUCGUUUUGCUCCUACAGGAUUCGUAUUUCCUCCUCAUUCUUCUAAUAGAGGGUUUGUAUCUCUUCCCUAUUCUUCUGGCGCAUUUUUGCCAUCUCUUUUUGUAAGGUUUGGAGCAUAACUAUUUGGUUGGCCUUGUCAUUUUCUCACUUUCCAUUUGCCUUGUCGAAACCAUUUGUGGCUUUUUAAGUCUAUCUCGGCAUCAUGGUGGGUGUAUAGGGCCUAGAUAGUACCUGCUACUGGCUUGAACAUUUGUCCCUUGUCCUUCGGUCGCUCCUCUUUCUCCUUCUUGUACUCGCUCUUUGGUACUCAGUCGGGAAAAAACCUGCAAAAGGUUCUCUGACGAUCAAGUAAGUGUUAUGUAUAAGAGUGAGUGAUAUAUUGAUAAAAACGUAAAAUAAUUAGACCUAUUUAUAUUGCUAAUAGUCGUAUCUAAUAUGCAUCUUUAAUAAAAUAGUAUUACUUGAUUUAUCGUUAUUUAUCAAAUUUAUAACAUAUUACCUUAAUUAUUGCAUAUCUUUUUACUCUCUAUUAAUGUACCAAUUUGUCUGGUUGGUUAGCUACUGACUUACUCAGCUCCGACCUAUACACUUUUAAUUAUUAAAUAAAUCACAUCACUAUAUUCAAUUUUCUUUAUAUAACUUUUGUGCAACUAUUGUUACGUAAAUUUAUUAUUAUAAUUUAGCAUAUAUACAAAACUAAUUUUAUAUUAAAAAAUAUUCAAUUUCAAUUGUGAAUUAUCUUUCAAAUUCACAUUUCAAAAUUAUAAUUUUAAUACUUUUCCUACUCUACGGUUAUUAGACUGUUCAAACCACGAUCAUUGAUUCACUCAUUGGCGAUAAUCAACCACUAAAAUACCUCCUGGAAUCUCGACAACACUCACGGAACAAUUCUAUUGAGAUUCUAGCUAGGCUCACAAUUUAUCUUCAAAAUUUCACUAUUUCUUUUCAUCAGUUUCUCACACGAAACAAUCCUACAAUUAUUUCUCAUUUUUAAUUUUUGUCACCACUUUUAUCAUAAUAAAUAUUUAUUUUUAAUAAUCAUUUUAAAUAUUUUUACUUUUCUAACGUAUUUAAAUAUCUUGAAAAACUCCAUUAAUUUUUUUUCAAGAUCUACAAAAUUAUUUAUUACCAUAAAAAAUGAAUAAAUAAUAAUAUUUUAUUUUAAAUUGUUUAAAUACCAAAAAUAAUAUUUAUUUUAUUUAAACCAUUAUAUUUAUUUUUAAACGCAUAAUUCCAAAAUUAUGAUUAUAUUUCCUAUUAUCAAUAUUUUCAGCUUUUAAAAACUAACAAUCACAAACUGAACUCUAAACAAUAUUUUUAAACCAAAUUUUAUUUAUCCUUAAAUAAUUAUCCCUCCUCUCAAACCAAUUAAAAUUGAUUCUCUAUUCUCAAUUAACUAUUUCGGUUAACUUUUCUCUAAUAUUUUUUUCAUUUUUUUUUCUUUCGUCCCUUUAAAACAAAAAAAAAAACAUCAGAUUCGUCCCCACAAAAACCAAAUUCUCGGGAUUCAAGAAUCGAAUUCGCAAAAUGAAGAGUAAAUCAAUUCAUUUCGGGAAAAAAAGGAGAUUUGUCCAUUUGGAAGAUUUUUUUUAUAAAGAUAUUGAUGUGGAUAUUCCUGCGUAAAAUGUAUUUUCAUAUUAAAUAUUAAAUACCUUGCAACUACCCUGUAAUGCUUGUGCUACUUUCUGAAGUAAGAACUAAAACAAACGAAUCAGAUUUUGGAACUAAAAUUAUAGUUUAUAACACGUUUUCAGCAUUAUUCUGGUUGAGAAAUUUGUAAAAAUGGACCAAUAUUCCAUUAAGCAAGCUCUAACACAAGUGCCCAAAUCCUAAUCGUGUUCAUGCUAGAAUUUCCAAUGAUUCAUUUGGGGUACAGAAAAAGGGUUCAUGAAAUUAGGUUUCAUCCACAGGGUCCUCUUAAACUGAGAAAAUUAUUCAAAUUUCCCACGAAAUUACGAGAAACUUGUUGGUUGGGUACUGGAGUGAGCUGAUGAAGUUUUUCUUGACCAUAAUUUAAGCGAUCAAAUGCUGGUUUUAAGAACUAAAACCUAAACCCUAAACUACGGAUCAAAAUCCAAUUAUCGAAAGCAACUAGGGUUAGGGUUUACCCCCAUUCCCCGCAAAUUGCAGGGGAAUCACCACAAAGCAGCUUCCAUUAAUGAAAAUUAACGGCAAAAUUGGGAAUAACAGAAGUAUAUAAUUUGAUAUAAUCAAAAUCUAGAAAUGGUUCCGAUUUAAAGCAGCGACAGCAGCAACAUGAUAAAGGUAAAGAGCAUGAAUGAAAAGCAAAACUGAAAGUGAAAUUGGGAGGUUUUGUGAUGACAGAUGAUGGAUCAGUACCUCCUGGUGAAGGGGAAGUUUUGUUGGACAGGGACAGGGUCAACCUGGGUGAUGCCGCUGAUUUCGUUGAGUCCGAGGGAGUGGAGCAUAUCCAUGGUUUCCUUGUCCACCUCGAUGUGCUCGGUGUUGAUGGCGGAGAUUUCGGGAACGAAGUCCAUGCGUCGCUCACGCUCCUCCUCCUGCAGCUUGAGCGAGAUGCCGCGAACAGAACCCUUCUGGAUCCGUUUCAUGAGAUGUGUGGAGAAACCUGCAAUCUUGUUCCGCAGCCUCUUCGAGGGGACGAUCGCCACUUCUUCUAGAAGCUUCUUGUUCGUGUGAAAAUCCAAGGUCAUCCUCGAGUAGUAACGCUCGAUCACUUGGCGUGAAGAUUUCUUCACCGUCUUAGUCCUCACGCGCCCCAUGCUUCUUCUUCUUUCUUCUUCUUCUUCCUCCUCUCUGCGGCUUCUCUUCUCUUCUCUGGGAGUGUUACUACAAAUUUAGGUUUACAUAUUUUAUCCCAAACUUGGGCUUUUCUUCUUGGGUGUUUCUUCCUACACCCUCCAUUUUUCUUCCUGCACCCCUAUACUUUUUAAAAUACCAAAAUUAGCAUUGUUAUUUUUAUUUAAAAAGACACUAUUCAUGGCAUGGCUACGUUUGUUUUUGUUCGUUGAUUGUUGGUGCUGUAGAGGGUAAUUUAAGUUGCACGAAGUAAGGGUGGAGAUGUAAGUGUUGCUUUGAAGGGUCGAUUGACUUUUAGAGUUAAGAAUUGAGUUUUGUUGAAGAGGGUUUGGUAGUUAUGGGGUUUAGAGGCUCUUGAAAAUCGGAUUCCAUGACUGAAUUAUGAACCAAGCAAUUUACAAUUGCGAAAAUAAGUACAAAAUGGCUAAUCCGUAAGUCAAGAUUAUGUAUUUUGAAUAGAGGGUGUUCCGGAAGCAUUUAUGUAUAAUGGAUUUGCAAAUCUAGAAAAGAAAAAAUCUUUACAAAAUGGUCGUUCGUUUCGGAAUGUAUAUUUUGACUUAUGGAUUGGUGGAUCUGGAAUACAUUUUUUCACUUAUAGAUUGGUGGAUCCAUAAUGCAUUUUUUGACUUAUGAAUUGGUGGAUCCAUAAUGCAUUUUUAGACUUAUGGAUUGGUGUGGAAUGCAUUUUGUGACUUAUGGAUUGGUGGAUUCAUAAUGCAUUUUUUUACUUUUGAUGUUUUGUUGUGGUUUUUAAUAAUUUGUUGAAGUUUUAUGGUAAGAUGUUAAUUUGUAGAAGUAUGAAUAAUACCGAAGGAUUUGAACAAUGAUUAUAUGAUAAGGAUCAAUAUAUAAGCAUACAUUAUGACUAUUAUAAAUGCGGAAGAAGAAAUUCACUCACAAUCGUGUAAGAACUAACUUCAUUACCAUUAAAAAUAAUAAUGUAAACAAAGUGUUCCUUCAUCAAAUUACAAAAUAGAACUACAAUUAAAAACAUAAAUAAUACAAAUAAUCAUUGUCGUCUAUGUCGUCGUCUACGGACAUACUUAUCACACCAUCCCAUAAUUAUCUUAUCACAUGAUUUUCAUAAGUUAUUAUCGGUGAGUGAGUCACUAGACAUCUAGGAUAACUUUUACUCUCUACUUCGAGUUCGCAUUCAUUCUCCACCUCCAUAUGGGGUUGGGCUUCUUCAACUUCAUGUUGAAUAUGUUUUUCAUCUUCAUUAACAUGUCUUCUUCUACUAACAGAGUUUAUGGGUCGUACAUGGUCACCUUGUAAACCUCUUCCUCUAGUCUUCACCAUUUUUAUUUGUGCACUUACAUUAUUAAAAUUAAAACAAAACACCUCACAAAAUCUGCCGAAUGAAUCACCUCACAAAAGAAACCACCAAUAACAUCCCAAUGUACUGCCACUCCUUGCCAUUUAUUUUCUCUCUGAAAAAGGUGCACAACGAUUGUAGAGAAGGAAGGAAGAAAGAAUGACCGUGGUAUGGUGCUUUAGGAUUUUUAAUAAGUGCCAAAGAUACUUUUGUAAUUACACAUGAAUGUAGGGAGUGUAGGAAGAAAAAAUGUAGAGUGCAGGAAGAAACACCAUUUUUUUUUUCACUUUUAGCUUCAACCUUUAAAAAAAACACUAUACCAUAUUAUAAAAUAAUUUUUUUUCUUAUUAUUUUUUGGAUUAAACUUUUCUGAAUAUUAAAAUUGACAAGGUUAAUAACACAAAAUUCAUUAUAAAAAAAUAUAUCUGUGUUAUAAAUUUUGAAAUAGUGGAUUUAGAAAAAAAAAUUAUUUAGAUAAUUUAGGAUAAAUAUUUUCUUUUACAGGAGUUAGAAGAUAAGACUGAUAUUUAGAGAGAUCUAUUUAAUAAGUGAGUCUCAAUAAUAUUCGUAAACUCACUUAGCAUUUAAACCAUUUUAAUACAAAUUAUGAGUAAUGAAUAAAAAUUAAAAGACAAUUAAAAAAAAAAAAACUCCAAAAAGUUUGACAAGAAAGUAUUAGUUGAAGAAAAAAAUAAUUUAUUUUAAUAAUUAUUAAAUAAAGAUUAAUUUUAGAAAUAAAAAGUAAUUAAUCAUUAUAUUAAUUAAAUUAUAUAUUAUUUUAUAAACUAAAAUUUUGUUUAGUAUUUAAAAUAGUUUCUAUUAUUAUUUAGUUUUCUUACAAUAAUUUUAAGUAAUUAGAUAAAUAACAAAUAUAUUUGAUAGAGGUCCAAAGAAAAUAAAUAACAUGAACAUGAACUUGAUAUUUAGUAUUUAAUCUUUACAUAAUAGACAAGAGAAGAUGUUGUGCAAGAAAGUUUUGGAUUGUGGAGCUGUGUGUGGCUUUGCACAAUGAACAAUUUCAGAUCCAUCAAUUCUGCUUUGCUUUGCUUUCUCACACUCAUUCAAGAAUGUUUGAAAUGCAUCUUCACAGUAUUUUACUGCCUCUGAAACAGUUAAAUUCUGUGUUAGUUUGGGGUAUGUACUCUUAUUAUGAUCCCCAUUUAAAGUUGCUGUCAUGUAUAUCAGUUCUUCCUGAAAUUCACUCAGUUCUGCAUUUUCAUCACCACCAACCUCUCUUAGUUUCACAGGCUCGGGCAUUUUCACUGAAAUUUGUCUCAGAAUUAGUCAAAAUGGAAAAGAAAAAUUGCUAAAACAUAAUUUGUGUAACUGAAGAUUCUGCAUAAUUUUAUAAAAUCAUUGUAGAAAGAGAAAAAAAAAGAUAUUUGACCUGGACAAUCAGUACGUGGAGUGGUUAGAGAUAAGAGAUUUUCAAAUGUUCCAGCCCAUGCAUCACGCUUUGUCAAGAACUGAGGAAGAUUGAAUAUUUUCUUCACAGUUGCUGGUAUUGAUGAAUGUUCAUACUGUGAUGUUGGGAAUGGCCCAGAAGGUUCAUGCAACACUGUUUACAACAUUCAUACUCAGUUAAUAACUAAAACAUGUUUCGAAAAUGAGUUCAUAUUUAUAUAUAUGUUUUGAUCACACCUUUUCCUGCUUGAAUCCAUGGAGAAAUAAUGAUGGUAGGAACCCUAACACCCAGUCUAUCAAACUGAAACUUGAAUGGUGCAGGACCUGCAAUGUCAUCUGGGUUUGGAACUCCAUCCACAGGUGUUGGCACAUGAUCAUAGAAGCCUCCAUGUUCAUCAUAUGUAAUCACGAACAAUAUUUCAUUCCAUUGAGGACUUGUUCUUAGUGCCUCAUACACUUCUUUCACAAACCUUUGUCCCUCACCAACAUCAUGAGAUGGAUGAUCAUCAUUUGCUGCCACUGAUAACAACUCAAAAUAUCUUUGCUCAAUCACCACGUAGUUUUCCAAUCUCCCUUCUUCACAAUGCUUCUUGAACUUUAAAUCAAACAAAUGAAAGUUGUCUAUGUAUUUCACUUUCCUCAGGUUUCUGAAAUUCCUCCAAAAAUUCACUUCUCAAACACUUGUAUUUUCUCUUAAUUUGUAAACCAACUAAUACUAUUAUUAAUACUAAUACAAUCCACUUAUAAUUAAUCUUUAUCAUAAACCUCUCUCAGUAAUUUUUUUCUAUCACAAGACUGAAUCUGAGAGUGAAGCCAUUAAUAUAUAUAAAUGCUACUUUACAUUAACUUUUUCAUUAAUAAAGGAAAGAAACACAGGUUAUGUCAAUGUAAAGGGAAACAUUCAGAAUAUAUAUAAAAUAUAAAAUAAUUUUGGAAUCUAAAUAAGGGACAUGUGAAUUACAGAGUGUAUUUCUUUUUCUUUUUCUUCUAAUAUUGUGUUAGUUUAUUUUAUGGGAUUUUGAAUCCAAAGUUUUUGUUUUGCAGAGAAACACUAUAUAAUCUUCAUAAAUCAUUAUAUAAUUAAGAUAAACUUAUUGAUUUCAUAAUAAUUAUUUUGAAAAUUAUAUCAAUAAUAGUUUACAAUUAAAUAUCAGACAGAAUUGUCGAACUAUCUAUUCCUCAAUAAUAUGCAUACACGAGUUUAACUAAAAAAAAUGAUAUUUAAGAAGCAACAAAAAUAAUAUUAAUAUUCUAAAUUAAAAUAAAUAUGAAAAAGAAAAAUAUUUCAAAUUUAAAAAUAAUAAUUUAAAUUUUUAACUUUUCAUGUAUAAUUAAUGUAGAAAAAAUUACUGUUAAUAAAUUACACUUAUCUUAAAUAUAAUUUUUUAAAACAAUUAUACAAAAAAAGGUUACCAGUAAUUAAGAUAAUGCAUAAUGAUUUCAUAGCAAGAUGAAAGUGUAAAAUAACAUCUCAAUAUAAUGUAAUUGAAUUUUUAUUUAAAAGUUAAAUUUAAAACAAAAUAAAAAAUAUUUUUUAAUUAUUAGUAACAACAAAUCUUUGAAUUUUGAAUUUCAAUAAUAGAACCCUCAAAUCAAUUUUAAGUUUACAUCUGAUUCAAUAUUUUUUAGAUUUAGCUAAAAUAAAAGUUUUCUUUAAACUUUAAUUAACUUAGUAUUUAAAAUAAAUAAAAAUUAAUUAAUUUAAAUAAAAUUGAAGUAAAGUUAAUUUUGGAUUGAAAGUAAAGAGAGGAAAAGUGAGUAACCUAUAAAAAAGAGUGGAUGGUGGGUAUUGGUAAUAUAUUCCAAAACUGAACCCAUUUUCGUCCAAAGAAUCAAAUAUAGUCUUCUGUGGUAAACCUCCAAUGAGUUUCUGCGUGUCCUGAGUGGUCAACCCAUACGACGUCGCAGAGUGAACGUAGAGCCGGUUCGGUUGGGUCGGACCGGGAACCGAAGCAAACCACCGAUCACACACCGCAAACUCCUUAACCAACUCUCUAUAAACCGGUAAAAGAUCCGGUUUGUACCCGUUCAUCACCGUCUCCGCCGUUGAUCCCUUCUUUUGCUUCACCGAGUUUUGGGCGAACCCUUCCAUUCUCGCCGACACUUUCUUUCUCGUCGAGGACUCGCUCCAUGGCUCGCCGAAAACUUGCUCGUACACAUCCUCGACCGUGUGACCCGGGUCCGGUUCAACAAAAUCAGACUUGUCGGAAAAAUAAACCCGGUUCGAGCUUGGCUCCAAGGUGGAAAUCGGGUUUGACUCCGAACCGGUGACCCCAUCGAUUUCCGGGUUGAGGGACUUCAUCCAACCCAACAUGUGGUCAAAUGAACGGUUUUCUUGAACCAAAACGACGAUCGUUUUGAUGGGGUAAGGCCAUGCACUACCACCAGAUCUUGAAGACAUGUUCAAUUAUGAGUUUUGUUGUGGCAAAGUGAUGAAUUCUCAAAAUAGAUGGUGAUAUAUAUAUAUAUAUAUAUAUUAUAAUGCAGAUGGUUUAGCUAGCUCACACCUAUGUAAGAAUUAGGUGAUGAUUCUUUAUCUUUUACUUUGAAAUUUUAGUGGAAAAUUGAUUCUAGUUGUGGGCUCAAUUUGACCUAAUAAUUGAUAAAUUUUUCAUAUUUGACCUAAUUAUUGAUAAUUUUUUCAUAUUUUUUUUAUUUAAUUACAUUAUACAAUGAUUUAUAUGGUACUUUUUAUUAUUAUUAUUAUUAUUAUUAUUAUUAUUAUUAUUAUUAUUAUUAUUAUUAUUAUUAUUAUUAUUAUUAUUAUUAUACUGUCUCUCUGUGAAAUAGCUUGUUUUAAUUUAUGCUUUCCAUUACUUUUUAUGUGUCUUAAUUAUAUUUUUAUUGGUUGAUGUGAUUUCUCUUUCUUUGGUUUAUCUUUCUUUUUUUCUGAUUAGACAGAGAAUCUGCUUUCCUUGUUGCACCCACUAAUUGAGGAAGAAUCACGAGUUUAGCUAUGUUAAUUAUUGAGAUUCAUAGUUUGUUUUUCUAAAUACUUCAAUUAUCAAAUUAUAUUUAAAGAAAUUAUAACAAUUCUUUUUAAAACAAAUUAUAUAGUAAGUUCUUUUUAUAUCUGGAGUUUCAGAAAAUAAAAUAUCUGGCAGAGACUUGUAUUAGUUUACUAAACUUUUAUGAAAGAGUGAGAUAUACGAUUAAACUCCUUUGUAAAGAAAAUUUAUGAGAAGUUGUGAAGAAAUGAAAUGAAGGGCCCAAAGUGGAGAAAUUUGACCAAAGAAGAAACAUGGGAAAUAGAGAUAACUCUUUGAUUGGUGAUAUAUUUAGAAUUUAUAAUCUAUCUUUUUUUUUCUAUAAAUGUAAUUUAUUAGCUCUUCCUUCUAUAAGAGUAAAAUUGUAACAUCCAAUUGUUUAUAUUAUCUUAAGAAAAAACAUUUAUAAUUAGAGAUUUGUUUCUGUCGGAAAUGAAUUUAGAAGAUAUUUUAAAGAAGACGAGAUAUUUAUUUGUAAGUAGAUUUUCAGUUAGACUCGACCAUUCGAUACUUAAGUAAGUAGAAGCUCAAAGAUGAUAAUAAAUACCUAAUAAGAGAGUUAAAAUUAUAUAAUAGGAUAAAUUAUACUUUCUAGAAAGAGUAGAUAUUUAUAGAUUUUUUGGGUGAGGGACUUUAAUUGGUUCGUAUGAUGACCAUUUAUUGCUUAUUUAUUCAUGAUUAUAUUAAUAAUAAUGAGUGGUUGAUUAUAGGAUUUAUACCAUCACCAUUUUAUACCAUCACCAUUGUUUGACAUUCACGACCUUCUAUAGAAAUCUUAUGUUUAGAAAAUUUUUAUAAAGAUAAUGAAAAAUAAAAGAUGGUCUCAGUUAAAGGUUUGGAUAAUAAAUACUAGGUUUGUACCACCAAUAUUGUAUAAUAAAACGAUAGUGAAAAAUAGGACUAAUUAACGUUAAAUUAUUGUAGGUAAUAAUAAAUUUAUCUACAGAAGAAAAUAGGCUAAUUUUUUUGUGUUAUUUAAUUCAAUUUCACAAAUUUAAUUAUUUGUAAGUGGCGGUUGAUUUUAAAUUUUAUAAAAAUGAAGUGACAAAUGUUGUGGCCACGAAUUGUUUUGGUUUUGGUUUUGGAAGUAUUGAAAGAUAAAUAAUGAUGAUGAAGGCCACUUGAUUAUAAAAGUGGUAAUCUUAUUAAAUACAUCGUCACUUGACAUGAAGAAAUUCAUAAGAUUAACAAAAUAAUAUUGAUAAUUAAUAUUAAUACUUAUCAAUGACCAAUUUUAAUUCUCAUGUCCAACUUCAGCAAUAUCAUUUUCUGGACACUCUUUUAAAGUGAAAUUUACGUGGUUACUUUAACUUUUAUAUAAAAGUAGGGGUGACAAAGCGGAUCAGUCUGUCCCGCUUAAGUCUGCAAAAUGUGGACUAGUUUUCAUGGUCCGCGAGUUUGUGGGCUGACUCGCAUUUUUUUUUUUGAAACGUGAAAGAGGAGUGGAGGUAGUAGUAGUGUGCAACAAUGGAGCGGCGCGAGCGGCAGCAACACGACAGUUGCAGGCGAAGCCGCACGAAGUCGCAAGCGGAGCGAGCGACGACACUGCAACGGAAAGUGCGUCGUGUGUUGUGUGCGUUUUUUGGAACAGCAUAGCUGCGUUGUGUUGAGUGAAAACCUAAUUUUCUUUCACUCAAAGUUACGACUCUUCUACUGCCAAGUCAAUUUUUUCUUUUUUUUUACAGGCCAACCCGCCUCGUCCCACUGCUGGCCUGCGCGGGUCGCGGGUUAUGCGGGACAGACUAAUGCGAGUCGAGCUAAUGCGGGUCAACGGGUUGAAAAGGUCAGCCUGCCUCGCUUUGCCACCCAUAUAUAAAAGUAAGAGAAUCCAGUAUAAAUUAUUAUUUGAUUUCUUUUAACUUUAAAACUUUGUUAUAUCUCGUAAAUCAAUAAAUAAAAAAUAAUUUUAGAGACCAAAAUAAUUAAUUAUUAUUUGAUUAAAUUAGAUACUAUUUUAUAAAAAAAAAAAUUAUUAAUAUCUGAAGUAGUUUUUUAUUAUUAAUAAUAAUUUAUAAAAUAAUUUUAAAAUUGAUAUCUAACUAUUAGUUACUUACUCAUUUAUAUUCUAAAUUAUUCUCUAUUAGUCUUUAAGAGACUAAUUUAUAAUAUAAAAUAGUAGUAGCUAAAAUAGCUAAUUUAGAUACCUAUUUAUAAACUAUUUUAUAAUUUUUUAUUAAUAACAUAAAUCACUUUAGAUACAAAUAAUUUUUUAUUCUCUAAAAUAGUAUCUAGUUUAAUCAAUAUAGUGGUUAAUUAUUUUUUGUGUCUAAAUUUAGUUGUUAUUUAAUGAUUUUCUUAUAAUUAAUAAAAUAAUUAAAAGUAAAUUUAGAAGUUAGAAUAAAAAAUCAUGUGUUCCUAUCCUAUUAUCAAAGUAUAAUUUUAAAUAUUUUGAUGAUAGUAGAAGAAUAAAAUAUCUACAAACAAAUUUAGAGUUAGAAGGAAUUAUUGAAUACUCAAAGAUAUUGAUGUUUAAUAGUAAAACUUAGAGAAUCUAGUUAUUGAAGAAUUGAUGACUAGUUAUUUUUGUAUGAGUACAUUAGCAUGUAUAGAUGCAAAUUGAUAUGUGUAAGUUAUUAAAAGAUACAUGAGAAGUAACUUUAAUGUAGUUCAAUCUCAUGCUCUUGCUUGAUGUUUACUUAAGUUAUACAUGUUUUAGUGAUUAAAAUUAUAUCUUUUAUAUCUCAAUCAAACAAAUUGAAAAUAAAAUGAAUCAUUGUGAAUGUGUAUAUAAAUUAUAUAUAUUAUUUGAAUAAAUGUAAUUGUAAAAACAACAUAGUAUAAGUGAGUCAUUUCAAAGCCUCACUUAUCUGAUUGCAACCAAAUUGGACACUACAAGAAAACCAUAAAAUAGAAACCAAUUUGUAGAAACCAAAAUAAUUAGUUGCAAUAGUAACUAAAUUAGAGACCAUUUUAGAAACUAAAAAGAAAUUUGGUUUCUAAAUUAGUUUCUAUUAUUUUCUGUUAUUGUUAAAUAGUUUAUAAAUUGGUAUCUAAUUAGCAACUGAGGUUUUUGCUACCAAAUUUAGAAACUAAAUAAUUGAUAGUUAAAACCUUAGUUGCUAAUUAGAUACCAAUUUAGAAACUAUUUAACAAUAAUAGAAAAUAAUAGAAACUAAUUUAGAAACCAAUUUUUUUUUUAGUUUCUAAAAUGGUCUCUAUUUUAGUUCCUAUUGUAACUAAUUAUUUUGGUCUCUAAAAAUUGGUUUCUAUUUCAUGAUUUUCCCAAGUUGCAUCCAUAUAUUGAGUAGCUUUAUUUUUACAUCUAUUUGAGUUUUUUUUUUUUUUAGUUAGUUACAUUUUCAUUACUCACUUGUUUUUAUUUAUUCUUAUCCUUUAUAAUCUUUGUUCUUAUUUAUCCUUUAUAGUAGUCUUUGUUCCUGUUUUAUGUGAGGAAAUAAUCUAGCUAAUGAAUUAGAGUUUGAUCAUGAAAUAAAGAUGAUAAUUAAGAGAGACAACAAGACAAAUAAAAAUAAACAAUUAAAAAAGUAAAGACAACACCUUACCUUUAAUAGUUAUUCACUACAAGAAAAACUCAAAUUACAUACAGCCAAUAUCCGUAUGUAACACACAAAAUCCGUAUAUAAAACCUAUUUACAUACGGAUUAUAUACGGACAAAAAUCCAUAUAUAAAACUGUCGUAGGUAACUAUUACAUACGGAUUUUUGGAUCCGUAUGUAAUUACAUACGGAUAAAUCCGUAUGUAAAAUUCGUAUGUAAUUACAUACGGAUAAAUCCGUAUGUAAAAUCCGUAUGUAAAUCCGUGUGUUAUUACAUACGGAUAAAUCCGUAUGUAAAAUCCGUAUGUAAUACAUACGGAUAAAUCCGUAUGUAAAAUCCGUAUGUAAUUACAUACGGAUAUAUCCGUAUGUAAAAUCCGUAUGUAAUUAACAAGCAGACCUACAUACGAAUUUAUCCGUAUGUAACAUUGUACACAGCACCAUCAACUAUUUGUAUUUGGAAGCACCCCAUAUUCUACACCUGCAUAUCAUCCAUCAACAUUCCAGUUUUCAGAAGACAAAUAUUCAUCACAUUCAAAGUUAUCCAUACAUACAAUACUUACUAUUUUCCAAUAUCUAAAUAUCUAAAAUGUAUUUCAUUAAAACAAAGUUCUAGAGAAGCUAAUAAUUAUUAUAAUCUUCACCGGGUGAAUUUUGUUGUUCAUCAUGAUUAUUAUGAUGUUGUUGGACUUCAUUUGACUGCUGAUUCGGUUGAGUUGGUGGCGGGGUAUUUGGUUGCUGAAAAAACUGUUGUGCUGCAGCUGCUGCCUCAGGUGGUAGAUAUUGCAUCAUGAAAUUUUGAAAGUUUUGAAACCUUGCAUCCAUGCGUUCAAUAUGCUGCCUAAGUUCAACAAUUUCUUCUGAAUUAGCCUUGUUAUUACUAGAAGAUGAUUGUGUUUCUUGUAUGUAGCGACCAACACAGUCGUCCUGACGAUCAACACGUCCAAUCCCAUAUACUCGUCCCUUGUACCUUCCACCUACAGUUUCUAACCAACAACGGCUUCUCAAUCUUUCCUCCUCAGCAGGAUCUAAUGAAGUAGAUAUUGAGGUAGAUUGUGACUCAGAUAAUGCUUGAGACAAUCUACUUUCAAAAUCUUCCUAUUAAAAUGAAAAAUAAUUGUUAUCAUACCAAUUAAGGUAGAUGAAAAAAAAAGUUUAAAAAAACUAACAUGAGUCCGCCUUGAUCUAUCAUCAACAAAAUCUCCAGUGCUCUUCCGUAUAUGUGUUUGUUGAAACACUUCAUAAACAUGGACCGAGCGGCCNNNNNNNNNNNNNNNNNNNNNNNNNNNNNNNNNNNNNNNNNNNNNNNNNNNNNNNNNNNNNNNNNNNNNNNNNNNNNNNNNNNNNNNNNNNNNNNNNNNNUAAUUAAUCAUAGAUUAAUAUAAAAAAUUUAUAUGGAAAUCAUACCAAACGAAUAGUGUGUUCAUGAACAUUAAUAGAUCCUCCAGUGUGCAGACAUCCACCUUUUUCAGACAAACGAUUCUUUUUAGCUGUAUCACAUUUGGAUCGAUACACAGCCAUGUUCCAGUGUUCUUGGAGGCUGUUCCAAACAUUAUUGCCAAUCCAUUCUGGUCGUUUACCUUCUUGGCGAGCAUCUUUAAACAUUUGUGAAAGGGUGUGAGAAGCUUUUGUAUGGAAAUUUUUCUUAACUUUUUCCUCAUCCUCAGCCCUCCAAGUGACCUUCCUCUGCAAAACAACAAGAAUCAUCAAUCCAAAUUGUAAAAUAUAAAAUAUUUAAAGGGAAUAAAAAACAAGUACCUUAAAANNNNNNNNNNNNNNNNNNNNNNNNNNNNNNNNNNNNNNNNNNNNNNNNNNNNNNNNNNNNNNNNNNNNNNNNNNNNNNNNNNNNNNNNNNNNNNNNNNNNNNNNNNNNNNNNNNNNNNNNNNNNNNNNNNNNNNNNNNNNNNNNNNNNNNNNNNNNNNNNNNNNNNNNNNNNNNNNNNNNNNNNNNNNNNNNNNNNNNNNNNNNNNNNNNNNNNNNNNNNNNNNNNNNNNNNNNNNNNNNNNNNNNNNNNNNNNNNNNNNNNNNNNNNNNNNNNNNNNNNNNNNNNNNNNNNNNNNNNNNNNNNNNNNNNNNNNNNNNNNNNNNNNNNNNNNNNNNNNNNNNNNNNNNNNNNNNNNNNNNNNNNNNNNNNNNNNNNNNNNNNNNNNNNNNNNNNNNNNNNNNNNNNNNNNNNNNNNNNNNNNNNNNNNNNNNNNNNNNNNNNNNNNNNNNNNNNNNNNNNNNNNNNNNNNNNNNNNNNNNNNNNNNNNNNNNNNNNNNNNNNNNNNNNNNNNNNNNNNNNNNNNNNNNNNNNNNNNNNNNNNNNNNNNNNNNNNNNNNNNNNNNNNNNNNNNNNNNNNNNNNNNNNNNNNNNNNNNNNNNNNNNNNNNNNNNNNNNNNNNNNNNNNNNNNNNNNNNGGUUAUAUAAGUUUAUUAAUGGAGAAAAAUAUGUUGAAUAUAGUUUAAUAAAAAAAUUGAAAUAAACAUGUAAAAAUUUCAUCAGCAAACAUAAAGCUCAAAUUAAUUGGAGUAAUAAACAGUAUGUUAACAACAACAAUACAAUACUAGUUCGUACAAUAGAUAUUUUUGUUAACAUUGGCUUCCUAAGUCUAUUCAGAGCUAGAGAUGUCAAAGUCAUCUCCAUAUUCAUCUUCACUUUCUCCCUCUUCAUUGUCUUCUUCCCAUUCAUUUGUUUCUUCAUCUAUCUGAUCUUCAAAUGAUGAUACAUUGUUUAUGUCCACUUCUUCAAGCUCAGCCUCUAAAUCUUGUAAUCCUGAAACCCUUUCAACUUCAAUCACUUCAUUAACAUGUGACAUUUCAUCAACUUGAUAUGGCACUUCAACUUCUACAUCAUCAGAAUCAAUACGACCUCUGGGCUUCGUUUUGAUUGCAACACACCAACCACGUUUGUCUUUGCAUGAUGUUGCAUAUGGUACAUAAUAAACUUGUCGAACAUUAUGUGCAUUGAUAAAAGGAUCAAAUGGCACAUAUCUUCUAUCCAUUUGAAUAUCCACAAUACCAUAUUUGGAGUCCACUCGUGUACCUCUUGUUGAUAGAUCAAACCAAUUACAGUAAAAUAAUACAACUUUGUUAUCUGAGGUCAAAGAAUUGUACUCCACCUCAUAUAUGUGUUGAAUCACACUGUAGAAAUCAUCCUCACCUCCUUCUGUAAGACCCUUUACAUGGACCCCACUAUUUAUUGUUUUCUUUCCCUCGCUCCAUGCAUGAGUGUGAAAUUUGUACCCGUUCACAAAGAAGGUGUGCCACUCUUUUACACACCUUAAAGGACCAAGUGAUAAAUCUCUUAAGUGUUGGUUCUUCACAUUUAAAGGGUCUUUAUGAACCUAUAAAUAUAUCAAUGUCAUUUAUUUUUUAUGAAAUGGUUAAAGAAGUCCAAAAAAAAGUAAAUNNNNNNNNNNNNNNNNNNNNNNNNNNNNNNNNNNNNNNNNNNNNNNNNNNNNNNNNNNNNNNNNNNNNNNNNNNNNNNNNNNNNNNNNNNNNNNNNNNNNUAAACCACAAAGGAAAAUCUGUAUGUAAACGAGCCGAGGCAUGUGAUUCGGAAAUUUCAUUACAAUGUAGAAAAGAGCUGUGAAUAUAUAAGUGUCAAUGCAUUUGGUACCCGAUAACUUAAUGAAUCAAUAACAGUGUUUUAAAAGAAUAUCUUGCAUGAGACUUACUCGAGGUAUGGUUUAACUUCAUUACAGUUGAUCAAAAUAUGAACAUGAGCUGAGUUCAAUUCUUCAUCAGUUAACCAACGAGUGAUCUUCCUCCCAGAAUGACGUCCAGGUUGGUCAAAUACAGAUAAGAUUGAUGGAAGCCUUUCACUUUCAAUGUCCACUUCAUUUCUACAAUGUUGUGGUCUUAACAUGAAGUUGUUGAAAUAAUGUGAACAAAAGUGAGUUGUCUCACGAUGCAAAUAAGAUGCACAAAUAGAUCCUUCUACCCUAGCCUUAUUCUUCACUGAUCGUUUAGCAUAUCCCAUGAAUCUAUAAUCAAAGAAAUAUGUUAUGAUUGAUAGUUAUAUUUCACAUUAAAUAAAGACUAAUUACUCUUAUUAUUACCUUUCAAAUGGGUACAUCCACCUAUAAUGGACAGGUCCACCAAGUUUGGCUUCAUAUGCUAGAUGGACAGGGAGAUGUUCCAUAGAAUCAAAAAAUGCCGGGGGAAAUAUCCUUUCCAACUUACAAAGAAUUAUUGGAAUGUUUUGUUCCAUCCUAGUAAGAUCAUCCUGAUUUAGUGUUGUAGAACACAAAUCUUUGAAAAAAUGACUUACCUCAAUAAUGGGAUUUAGAACAUGAGUUGGUAAGGAACUAAAUGCUAUGGGAAGUAGGCAUUCCAUGAAUACAUGACAAUCAUGGCUUUUCAUACCAAGCACCCUUCCCUUAUUGACAUUAGCACAUCUAGCCAAAUUUGAAGAAUAUCCAUCAGGCAUCCUAAGAUCUUUUAACCAUUGACACACAUGUUUAAUUUCCUCUGUUGCAAGUGUGUAAUUUGCUUUUGGCUUCAACAUCUUUCCAUUAGGAUGUGACUUCAGUUCCAAGUCUCUUCGCCUACAAUACAAACUUAAGUCCAUUCGUGCUUUGUCAUUGUCCUUUGUCUUCCCAGUCACAUUCAUGACAGUAUUAAAAAUGUUAUCGAAGAAGUUUUUUUCAAUAUGCAUAACAUCAAGAUUAUGUCUUAAUAUAUUGUCUUUCCAGUAUGGAAGNNNNNNNNNNNNNNNNNNNNNNNNNNNNNNNNNNNNNNNNNNNNNNNNNNNNNNNNNNNNNNNNNNNNNNNNNNNNNNNNNNNNNNNNNNNNNNNNNNNNNNNNNNNNNNNNNNNNNNNNNNNNNNNNNNNNNNNNNNNNNNNNNNNNNNNNNNNNNNNNNNNNNNNNNNNNNNNNNNNNNNNNNNNNNNNNNNNNNNNNNNNNNNNNNNNNNNNNNNNNNNNNNNNNNNNNNNNNNNNNNNNNNNNNNNNNNNNNNNNNNNNNNNNNNNNNNCAUGCAAUGUGGGCAUGCUAAUUUACCAUGAGUUCCCCAACCAGACAACAUACCGUAUGCAGGAAAAUCAUUAAUCGUCCACAUUAACAUUGCGCUCAUCAUGAAGUUCUCUUUCCUUGAAAUAUCGUAUGUUGGGACACCACUCCACAAUUUCUUCAAGUCGUCUAUCAAGGGCUCCAAAAAUACAUCAAUACCAGCCUUUGGAUUGAAUGGGCCUGGUAUGAGACAACUCAAAAACAUAUAAGGUUUAGACAUGCACAUUUCGGGAGGAAGAUUAUACGGGGUCACAAUUAUUGGCCAACAUGAAUAGGGUGCAUUUGAUGCUUGCACAUAUGGAUUAAAACCAUCAGAGCAUAAACCUAAUCGCACAUUGCGUGCCUCCACAGAAAAAUCGGGAUAUAUUGUAUCAAAGUGUUUCCAAGCCUCGCCAUCACAUGGAUGACGCAAAACACCAUUAUUGCUUCUGUUAUCAUAGUGCCAUGUCAUUUGUCCCGCAGUCUGUGUUGAAGCAUACAUUCUUUGCAACCUUGGAAUUAUUGGCAAAUAGAACAUUGCUUUUACAGGAACUGGUUUUUUGUUACUUGGUCUGGUGUUCUGGUGAUGAUACCUUGACUUGUGACAAAAUUUGCAUCGAAGCAACGCUCCAUCAUUUUUACCGUAUUCGUUAUCAUAGAAGAGCAUGCAACCAUCCACACAACAAUCAAUCCUCUUAGCCUGUAAUCCCAAUUUCGACACUAGCCUUUUUGCAUCAUAAUAACUUUUAGGCAAACCUAUUUUAGUAGGUGUUGCAUCUAAAAGCAUUUUUGAAAUAAACUCUAAGCAUUGGUCUGGAAUAUUCCAAUUGGAUUUGCAAGCUAAUAGUCGGACACACAUUGAUAAUUUGGAGUCAGAUGACCCUUUAUANNNNNNNNNNNNNNNNNNNNNNNNNNNNNNNNNNNNNNNNNNNNNNNNNNNNNNNNNNNNNNNNNNNNNNNNNNNNNNNNNNNNNNNNNNNNNNNNNNNNNNNNNNNNNNNNNNNNNNNNCACCAUGUCUUCCAUCAACCUAACUUGGUCAUUUUGUGACUGAAGGUGUGCACCUCCAAUUAUUUCCAAAGGCAUGCAAUUAUCGUUAUUAUCCAAGUCACCUUCUACCAUGUCUUCACCAUGAUCACUCCAAAUCCAAUAAUUAGAUUUGAAACCAUGUUUGUAGAGAUGAACCUUCACAAGUCUUUCCUCCAAAAUUCUUGUACAAUCACACUUAGUACAUGGACAUCGUAUUCCCCCAUCAUUCAGAUAACAUUCUUGUUGGCAAGCUUUGGUUAUAAACUCUUCAACUCCCAAUAUAAAAGUCUCUUUCAAAGCACCUCUUCCUCUAUAACACCUAUCAUACAUCCAUCCACGAUUUGAUGGAAACUGAUCCAUGUUCUGUUCAUAAAGCAAUUGACNNNNNNNNNNNNNNNNNNNNNNNNNNNNNNNNNNNNNNNNNNNNNNNNNNNNNNNNNNNNNNNNNNNNNNNNNNNNNNNNNNNNNNNNNNNNNNNNNNNNAGAGUUCGUGUUAGAAACGAACAUGUAAGAGUUUGUGUUACAAACUCUACCUAAAUCUUCUUUAGGUAUUAUAAUUAGUAAUAAAAAAAUAUUUUUCAUGCAUUAAAUUACAGAAUUUUAUACAUAAGAAAUCGUAAUGAGAAUUUACCCAAUGGCAAGAUAUUGGAUUGUAUUGACUUUUUGAAUUAUGGAUUUAUCACUUAUGCCUACAUUGACUCAAAUGAGGAAGUGAACCAUCAAAAAAAAGUUCACUGCUAUCAUUAUUUUAAAAUUAUCAAGUUUUAUAGCUAAUAAAUUCAUACAAAAAUUCAUUAAACCACAAUAACAGAAACAUAAAAAUAUACAUCAGCUCAUACAAUGUAUAAUGUAUCACUUUACAGAGACAAACUAAAGCCCUGCACAUUCCCAGCUCAAUAACCCAAAAAUAAACCAUAAACCAUGUAUGCCAAAAUAAACCAAAAAACCAGCAACUUCCUGCAAACAAAGAGAGCAGCAUACAAAAAAGUAGAUUCUCUUUUUUUCUACAAUUUUUGUUACAUAUUAAACAAAACCUGAACGGUUGCAGCGGUGGUGGCCGGAGGUCACACGGUGGUGGCGAAACCGAAAGAGAUCGUGCGUGCGGUGUGGCAGAUAGGGUUGCUGUUCGCUGGUGCUGUUCGCUGGAAAUGGGAUUGCUGUUCGCUGGAAAUGGGAUUGUUGUUCGCUGUUCGCUGGAAUUGAGGUUGUUGUUCGCUGGUGCCGUUCUGGAAAUGGAGUUGCUGUGCUUUAGGUUUUAGUGAAUGAAGAUGCGUGGAGGGAGCUGCUGAAGAAUACAUGGGCCAGUGAAAGUAAAGUGAACUUGGGCUUAGAAGAUUACGUUAAGGUGCCCGGUUUCAAUUAAAAUUCNNNNNNNNNNNNNNNNNNNNNNNNNNNNNNNNNNNNNNNNNNNNNNNNNNNNNNNNNNNNNNNNNNNNNNNNNNNNNNNNNNNNNNNNNNNNNNNNNNNNAUUUUAAUGAAAUAAUAUAAAUCACAUUUAAUUUUUUAUGUAAUUUAUUUUUAAAAUUGUUUAUUUAGUUAUUUUAAUUGAAUAUAAUUUAAAUAAAUAUUCAAUUACUUUAAGUAAUUCAAUAUAUUAACUUUAAAUAGUCAAAAAAAUAUUUUAUUGAAGUGAAGGUUGGCUGAGUGGAGAACUGUAGUGAAGUGGCUGGGGUUCAAACUCAAAUUUAACAUAUUCUUAAUUUUUUAUUUUUUUUCUCAAUUAUUUUGUUUUCUAAUUUUAAUGAAAUAAUAUAAAUCACAUUUAAUUUUUUAUGUAAUUUAUUUUUAAAAUUGUUUAUUUAUUUAUUUUAAUUGAAUAUAAUUUAAAUAAAUAUUCAAUUACUUUAAGUAAUUCAAUAUAUUUACUUUAAAUAGUAAAAAAAAAUAUUUUAUUGAAGUGAAGGUGGGCUGAGUGGAUAACUGUGGUGAAGUGGCUGAGGUUCAAACUCAAAUUUAACAUAUUCUUAAUUUUUUAUUUUUUUUCUCAAUUAUUUUGUUUUCUAAUUUUAAUGAAAUAACAUAAAUCACAUUUAAUUUUUUAUGUUAUUUAUUUUUAAAAUUCUUUAUCUGAUUAUUUUUAAUUGAAUAUAAUUUAUUAUUAUAAUUUAAAUAAGUAUUUAAUUACUUUAUGUAAUUAAUUAAUUAACUUUUAAAUAAUCAAAAUAAAAUAUAAAAUUAAAUUAAUUUAUGAUAUAACACACGUUAAGAUCACUUAUAUUUUUAUUUCUAUUUUCAAUAUUUUUUAUUGUUUUUUCUUUCUCAAUUUUAUUGUUUUUUAAUUUUAAUAAAAUAACAUAAAAUACGUUAACUCGUUAUUUCUAGUUUUUUAAUUAACUAAAUUUGUAAUAGCUUACAUACGGAUUAAAUCCGUAUCUAAGAAUUUAUAUUUUUAAUUAAAUUUUAAAUAACAUAUAUACGGAAAAUAUCCGUAUAUAAUUUUUUUUAAAAAAAAAAUUUACAUACAGAUCAAAUCCAUAUGUAAAUUAAAAAAAUUAAAAAUUUAAAAAAUAGUUACAUACGGAUAAUAUCCGUAUGUAAGUUUUUUUUAAAAAAAGUCGUUACAUACGGAUUUAAUCCGUAUGUAAGUUUUUUUAAAAAAUAAAAAAUUGUUACAUACGGAUUCCAUCCGUAUGUAAGAAUUUCUAUUUUUAAUUAAAUUUUAAAUAACAUAUAUACGGAAAAUAUCCGUAUAUAAUUUUUUUUUUAAUAAAACUUACAUACGGAUUUAAUCCGUAUGUAAAUUAAAAAAAAUUAAAAAUUUAAAAAAUAGUUACAUACGGAUAAUAUCCGUAUGUAAGUUUUUUAAAAAAAAGUCGUUACAUACGGAUUUAAUCCGUAUGUAUGUUUUCUAAAAAAAUAAAAAAUUGUUACAUACGGAUUCUAUCCGUAUGUAAUUUUUUUUUUUUUAAAAAAAUUCGUUACAUACGGAUUAUUAUCCGUAUGUAAAAAUCCGUAUGUAAUACUAACAUUACAUACGGAUCUGCAUACGUAUGUAAAAAAUCCGUAUGUAAUGUUGAAGUUAUAUACGGAUCAGAAUCCGUAUGUAAAAAUCCGUAUGUAAUGUCGGAGUUACAUACGGAUCAAAAUUCGUAUGUAAAAUCCGUAUAUAAUGUCUAUUUUAUAUACGGAUUUUGAUCCGUAUGUAAAAAACUGUAUGUAAUUAGCGAUUUUCUUGUAGUGAUUUUUAAUUUGAAUUCCAGUAGAGGCAAUCAUGGCUGGAGAAUAAUGAAAUUUCUCAUCACAACAUUCAAUAUGUUGAAUAAAUAAAAUGUAAUUGAUUUAAGAAAAAAUGUAAGAACCUACAAAAAAAAUAGCUUUACAGUUAAAUAAUAUAUUUUAAAUGAUACCUGAAUAUUAAUUAUUAAAGUGAAAAAUAUAUAUAAAUAAAAAAUCAGUUAUUCAUGUUUUAUUUUAAAGAAACCAUCCUCUCUAGAAAUUUAUUUUUUCCUUCCUCUGUCUUUUCUUUAACUUUUUGAACCCAUUUAUCACCAGACUGACGAUCGUAGUCCGUCAUUGAAUUCCUGGCAACGAAUAAUGCAAGAUUGUCUGAUCAGAGUUUUAGACAAAGUAAAUUCAUUUUUCCUCAUUCUUCCUUUGAGUCAGUUUUGAACUUUUUAUAUUAUCUCUAGUAUAGGCUUUGCAUGCAGUUUUUCUAGCUUCAGGAUUACUCCCUAUUAGUUUAUAGUCUUAAUGCUAUAGUUAGAUCUUUGAUUAAGACUAUGUGGUGCAAGUUAAGCUACCAUUGGGCUUUGUAGGAUUGAAGCUCUUUGUGAGCACUCCUACUUCUUUUUAGGUAAGAGAAAUUAGUUUUAAUUUUCAAUAGAACCCUAGGUUAGAAGAGUUGGAUGUGGGGGUGACGUGCUCACUAGUCUUAAAUUUUCUUGCAGAGUUGUUUGUUUUUUAGAAAAUUAUAGUGUUGAUUGAGAUUGAAAUGUGAAAUUGUAGAUUUUAUGUUGAUUUUGGUCUGAAUAAGUUAUUAAUGAUACUUUGUUUGAGAUUAAAAGUAUUGAAAGGUAGUAUAAAAUGAUUUGAAUUACAUUAUGACUAAAUUGAAGUAUAAAAGUUGUAUGUAAAUGUUUUGUAAAUCGUAAUGAUUGGAAUUGGUUUAGAAAUAAUAUAUAUAUAUAUAUAUGUUGACAUAGUAGCUCAUUGAGAGUACCUUUAUCAUUAUGAGUAAAGAAAUGUCAAUUUUAAUGUUGUAAGUUUAUGAAAAUACAUGUUUGAAUGUAAAUUUUGGUGAAAUAUGUUAAAUAGGUUAGAUUUUGAAAACUGUUUUUUGCAUGUCUCGCUUGAAUAAGGUGAAAAAAUAGGGUGUUCUCGGGUCCAUUUUAACUCAAGUGAGAGGGGAUCUCACUCAAGCAAAAAUAUAGUGAAAACACUUUUUUGUAUUGUAUUUUUUACACACACAAAUAAGGCUUUCUCAACAAUGCUAACCAAAAAAGGGAGAGGAGAUUCCCUUGAUGAACUUCUCUACAACAUUUAAAAUAGCAUAAUUAGAGCCAAGUGCGAAAUAGUUUUAACCCAACUGCCGAACUUAUCAUAAAAACCAAACUUAUAUAUAAUAAAGAGAAGAAAAUCUCAAUUGAGUGUCAAAAGUCUUCUUUAUAUUAAUUUUCAUAGCUACAUUAUCUCCUUUUUAACAUUAGUAGUAAUCAUAUUAAUGACCUUUGAUGAAAUACAAAUAUUAUAAUUAAUUUUCCUUCCUUAACAAAACCAUUUUGAUGAUGGUUAAUAAUACGACUAAAAAUACCUUCACCACCUUGUUUUUUUAGAAACAAAAGAUAUAACAAUAGAGUUUAUAUUAGGAAGAAUCCAAUUUUGAGAGAAAAAUUACUUAACAACUUUACGAGAAUAAAAAAAAAAAGCUUUUGAAAUCAUCAAGACAAGAAGUACUAUUAAAAUUAAGAUUAAAAAUUACAUUCUUUUUCUCUUCUUAGUAGACCCAACAAUAAAUAAAUUAUUUUCUAAAGUUAUGUGUUACAUUCAUGACAUAUGGAUAGUAGUAAAUAUUUACAAAUUUCUUGUAUUAAGUUUGUUGAGACCACUAUAAGUCAUGGUAAAGCAUUGAUUGAUAGGGAAUUAGGAAUUACUAGCACUGCACUACAAUAAAGACUUGAAUGAAAGUAUUUUUAGUGGUAAGUAAACGUCUGCAAUAAAAGUCUAGCCAAACAAAAAGAAAUUGUGACCUAAAUUAAAUUUAACCAUUUUUUAUUUUUCCUUAUUCAUAAAAUAAUAAUUAUAGUUUUAAAAAUAAAAUCUCUUACUUUUUAAAACCAAUACAUGUAUUUUAGUUUUUAUUUAUUCAUAUAUCAAAUAAUUAUAUAUAAUCAAAUUUUAUUUCAUUAAUAUGAAUUAAAUUUUAAAAUACAUAUUUUAUUUAUUUAUUUUGUUUUAAAUUUUUAAAGUGGGCCAAAAGGGCUCAUUAACCCAACAUAAUGCUGGGUUAAUCCGAAAAAUUGAUAUCUGUUCAGAAAAUAAGUUAGACCGAUGGGUGUUUCUUUAUGCACUCCAACAACUUUCUUCCUGAACCCAUCAUUUAUAAAAAGAUCGAUUUACCUCUUUUAAAAAUGAGUUCCAGAUUACUCUUUCUAGAAUGUUUUUGGAACAUACUUUCUGAAAAACAUUUUAUGAAUUUUGGAUUUACAAUUUCAUAAGUAAAAAAAUGUAUUUCAGAAUGAUAUUUUUGUCUUCCAAAUUUCCUAUUUCAGAAACACAAUUUUGCUUACAAAAUACCUUUUUUUCAGAAUUAUCCAAAACUAUCAAGAAUAAUUUGAAUAUUUUAAAAAAUAUAGGGAUGUAGGAAGAAACACCUAGACUGAUUUCAAUACAAGUUUUUAAGUGAUCAAUUGGGUUGAGCUGACAUGUUAUAUAACUCUAUGUCUUAUUAGAGUUGUUGUCUUUUCAAUAUUUUUUAAUCUAAGGUUUUGAUUACCUUAGAAAAUAUGUAGUGUGAAUAAUUAUAUAUAUAUAUAUAUAUAUAAUUAUUUCUAGGAUUGAAAUCAAAUAGAUUAGUUCUAGAAGGGAGGAAGUUGAAUAAAACUUUAUAAUGUUUUUCAAGAUGUGAUCAUAUACUAUUUGAAAAGGAUUUUAGCAUCAAACACUACUACUAAAAAUUAUUAAAAAGAAAUCAACUUUAGGUGCAAAAAAUAAUUAGUUGCUAUUGACUAAAUUAGAUAGUUAAAAUCUAAAUAAUUGAUAGUUAAAAUCUUGAUAACUAAUUAGAUACUAAUUUUAAAACUAUUUGUCAAUAAUAGAAACUAAUUUAGAUACCAAUAAUAUUUUUAAUCUCUAAAAUAAUAUUUAAUUUGAUUAAUAUAGCAACUAAUUAUUUUUUAUUUUUAAAAUUGGAUUUUAUUUAAUGAUUUUCUUUUUACGGGAAUUCAUGAGCAAACAUGCCAAUGACUUCAAAACAAUAUGACAAUUUAAACUGAAUUUAUAUAUGUGGCUUCUUAUGUUCUAUUGAGACUUGCAUAUUCUAUUGUAUGAUCAGUCAAAGAGUGUCAUCUAAGAGUCAUAUGAGACAAAAUAAAACAAUCAAAUGACUUGACAAAAUCUAAGCUUCUCAACACAUGACGUUCUUACAAUUCUUCAUUAUGUACAUCCUUAAUAGAGAUACUAGUUUACCAAAAUGUAGACAUUAUUUAUUAUGAUUUAUUGUUGAAAUCAUUAGUUUUUGCCUGUACUAUUUUUGUCUAUUAAGACCAAAUUGUCUUAAUUUAAUUGGUUGAGAUUAAACUAUUAGAUAAAAUUGUCGAAUGGAGUCUAAAAUUAACAAAGAGAACCUUAAUCUGAGUGUGUAAGAUGACAAACCAGAGGGUGUGUGCAUAUUGUCCUGGUGUCUCCACUCCAUAGUUGCAUUGCAACUUUUAUCUUUUGGAUUGUAUGUUAUGCAAUCCCUUCCUUAAUUGAGAUACUAUUGGUUUUGCUUUUACUCAUAUGUUAUUGUUUCUUAGGUUACAAUGCUAUAUUUUAUUUCUAACUAGCAUGUAUGAUUAUUACUAGUUUAAAGUAAAACUUAUUGGACUUAUGUUAGACGCUCAGAAACAAGAAAAUUUUAGCUCUAAACUUUUAACUCUAAUUAAGAGAUUUAUUUAAAAGUGAACUUUGAACGAUUACAUUAACAAUCUCAUGCAACAAAAGUGGAUCGUUACAACAAGAGGUUUUUGAUGACCUUGGCACAUGUAGAAUCCACUAAUUUUAAAAUGUUAUGAUAUUGAAACAUUCAAGGAUCCAUUGAUUGGUGUGACACUUGUCUUCAAUACUUUUGGCUUGAAAAUAUGAGAAUUGUUAUGCUUUAAAGCUUUGAAAUAGCAUAUGUAGGAAGAUUGUUAAACCUUUUAGGAAGUUCCAAAUCUUCCCAUUCUUCAUCCUCAAGCUUAGUGAAGUAACGGUCGAUAUCUCUAUCACUAAGAAGCUCCAAUUUGGAAGGUUCCCACUGAAAAAGACAUCAUCAAUAUGAUAACCAAAAUAUAACUUUUCAAUAAAAUUAAUUUACGUGUAGGAAUGUUCAUGAUGAAAUGGGAAACGGUUAUACAGAAUCAAAAGAUCAGAUUAGCUACCCACCUUUGGGUUCCUGUCCUUAUCUAACAGUAUAGCCCUACAACCCUGCAGUAAAGCAUAACAAUAAGCAAGCCAUGAAAGAAAAAUAAUCUAAAACAACCAUGGAUAAGAAUUAUCAGAUACCUCAAAGAAAUCCUUGCUGUAGUGUCCUUUGAGAAUAUGACAAACAGUUCUAUAUUCAAGAACAAGGCAUGGACCAAUACCCAGGAGCCUGACUUCUCUAAUCUGAAAAUGGCAAUAGGAAAAGAUAAAAGUUGUUAUAAUUACAAUAAUGAUAUUAUGACGAUUACUUUGAUGAUGAUGAUGAGAUGAUAACAAUCAUAAGCAAGUUCAAAGAUUAUGAUGACAUUUGCUAGAAAAGAGAAAAUUCAUAAAAAGUUAUAUUUGGUUCAACUCAUUCUCAAGAUGUAAUCACUUAUUUUUCCUAAAUUUCUUAAAGAACUCUAAGAAAUGAGCAAUUAUUGCUUGAAAAAUAAACUUAACCAAACAGGCAUUCUAUAGGACAGAUGUAAAUCAAGGUCAUAAAAUUGACUAUAUCCCUAUCCAUGUAUUAUGUUUCCAACAAGAAGUUGCAAGAAUAAAAAAUUGCUAAUUGCAACAAAUUGGCUACAAUAUCAACCUUGUGGCAAUAUCACUACUUGGCAAGACUUGGAAAUGUAUCACAACUCAUGUGAACGAUAUAUGUACUAAUCUUUAUUACUUGUGCAAACAGUGCACUUGAAAGUGUUUCCUUCAAACAUUUUUCAACUGAGCCUCUCUUUCAACGUUUGCAAAGUUUUAAAAGAAAGAAUCCAUUAAACUCCUAUUGUGUUUUUUUGGAUUAGCCUCAUGCAGGCUUGACUUUCUACAUUCCCUACUAGCUAUGUUAUUCUUGCCCUAGCUAUAGACUGACAGUUGUUGCUACUGAAGAAAGUACAAAAGAAUUAUCUUUAGUCUAGUGCUACGGGUAUGACAUGUCACCAGUCCAUGAGUUAGGAGGUUUGUUGUUGUUUAAAGGAGGAGGGGUACGGGUCUUGACAAAUUGGUUUCUAAGAACAUAUUGUUAUGAAUAGGUCUUAUUGAAAUAAAGGAAAAGAAAAAAUAGGAUAAAUUUCCUUGUGUUUAUUGGACAUAUAAGGUUAUGUUUAUAUAGAAAAAAUAUACAAAAAAUAUGGGCUAAGUCCAUUACAUAAAUAGAAAUAUCUAACAAUAUCUACAAUAUCUAACCAUAUCUAUAACAUCUAACACUCUCCCUCAAGCUGGUGCAUAUAAUUCGUAUACACCCCAACUUGUUACAAAUAUAAUCUUAGGCCCUCAUAAGGAAUUAGUAAAAAUAUCUACUAAUUGAUCAUUUGAGUUAACAAACUCAGUCUUGAUAUCUCCCGAUACAAUCUUUUCUUGAAUAAAAUGACAAUCAAUCUAAAUAUAUUUGGUUCUUUCAUGAAAAAUUGGAUUUGAGUUAACAUAUAAGUGUCAUUUGAGUGACUUCUACAAAUUGUAAUUCUUUAAGUAAUUAUUUAAGCCAAAUAAACUCACAAGUAGCUGAGGCCAUAACUCUAUAUUAUGUUUCUGCACUGGAUCUCGCCACAACACUUUGUUUCUUGCUCUUUCAAGAGAUCAAGUUAUCACCAAUGGAGACACAAUAUCUAGAAGUUGAUCUUCUAUCGGAUAGAGAUGCUACCCAAUCAACAUCUAUUAAUAACAGAAGAAUUUAGUUUGGUUAUUAGGACAAUAUAAACAAACCUUUUCCAAGAAAGCCUUUAAUGUACUUUAGUUUGCGAAUGACAGCAUUCCAAUGGUCUUAACAUGGAGAAUUAAGAAAUUGACUCAUCACACUAACUAUAAAAAGAAAUAUUAGGACGAGUAACAGUAAAAUAGUUCAAUUGCCCAACUAACCAAUCUUCUGUACUCCUCAAGAACUAAGAGAGGUUCCCCCUAAUUGGUUAGAAGUUAGACAUAGAGAUCCAUGGGUGUAUCAACAAAUUUCGAAUUCAUCAACCCAGUUUCCUCCAAAAUAUCCAAUGCAUAUUUUCUUUGAGAGAUAACAAUACCAGUAUUAGAUUGUGUUACCUCAAUUCCCAAGAAAUAUCUGAGUUUGCCAAGAUCUUUAGUCUGAAAGUGUUGAUAAAGGUGUUGUUUUACCAACAAGAUGCCAUGUUGAUAACUGCUUGUAAGAACAAUGUCAUCAACAUAUACUACGAGAUAGAUACUCCCAACACUAGUGUGACGAUAAAAAACUGAAUAACCUGCUUCACUACAAGUCAUACCAAACUGUCGAACAACAUUGCUAAAUUUUCCAAACAAAGUCCAAAGAGACUGCUUGAGACCAAAUAAGGAUUUGCAGAGAUGACAUACCAAUCCAGGAGAAUCCCCCUAAGCAACAAAGUCGGGAGGUUGCUCCAUAUAAAUUUCUUCCUGCAAAUCUCCAUUAAGAAAGACAUUUUUAACAUCCAGUUGAUAGAGACCAUUGUUAAAGAGCAGCCAUGGCUAUGAAUAAGCAAACAAAAGCCAUUUUUGCCAUCAGAGAAAAACUAUCACCAUAGUCUAAAACAAAAAUUUGGGUAUAACCCUUGGCCAUAAGGUGGUGGCUCCGACAAAGUUCCAACCACGAAUCCGACGACGUUCUGCGAGAUGGUGGUGGGGCGACUAGAAAACACCGGUGAACGGUGGAUUUACCAGAAAAAAUUGAACCCUAACCGUAUCUUCUGAUACCAUCUUAAGAAGUGGAUUUUAAGCCAAACUCAACCUUACAAAAUCAUCUUAUAAGGUGAGGUUUGCACCCACUUAUAUACUAUGAAAUGUCCUUAUCUCUAGUCGAUAUAAGAUCUCCAACACACCCCCUCACACCGAGACCUGUCAACUCGUUCGUGGGACUAUAUAUUAAUGGGUGGUUCAAUUGCAAACCGAUAGCAAGUGACCUGAUAAGCCCAACAAACUCUAGUUAUGAUAGGUUUUAAAUGAAUUUGAUACCAUAUUGAAAUAAAAGAAAAGAAAAAAUAGGAUAAAUUCCCUUGUGUUUAUUAGACACAUAGGGUUAUAUUUAUAUAGAAAAGAACAAACAAAAAAUAUGAGCUAAGACCAUUACAUAAAUAGAAAUAUCUAACAAUAUCUAUAAUAUCUAACCAUAUUUAUAAUAUCUAAUAAUAUCUUAUAAUAUCUAACAAGUCUAAAAGUAAUAGCCAAAUAGAAGAAGGAUUAGGGGCUCCAAAUGCAAGGCACAAAAGUAAUGCCACGGGGCCAAAGAAAUGGCAUGACUUUCUCCCAUAUUGAGAAGCUUCCAAGGAUUGAAUGACUCAACAAGUAAUUAUUGUUAGAAUUCGGUUAUGCACUAUUGGUGGAUUUUGUUAGAUAGCUUUCCUGUUAGAGUGCCUUUAUAUCCCCUUGUACUGUUCGUUAGGAGGGAGGAAAAAUAUAUCAUAUUGUCUCUUCCUUAUCUUUCAUAUUUCUGGAGGUUCUUUGUCCUUGAAACAGAGCUCGUUUCUUAUUAAUUGUUCUAGAAAGUAAAUGGUUAAUGUGUUUUCCUUCUCUUUUCAAUGGCAUAAGGUUAUCCAGAGAAUUCAGCCUGAUUGCAAAAGGUGAUAUUGUGCAAUGCCUAGCUCAAAAUCAGACCAUAUUCAUACGUUGUUAUAUAUUUGUUCCUUUAUCAAUUUCUUCACAUCCCCAUGUGAAGAUGACGGAGGUUCCCUGGGUCCUUGGACUAACUUUUGUUUAUUAGCUACUAGUUUUAGUAGAAGUAAAGGAGCUAGAAUAGUGAUAUCCUCAAUAUGUGUUAACACUUUGGUGAUCUGAUUGAAACUAAUUUGGAUGAGCAACUUGGGAUAUGAAGUUGAACAAAUUUAAAAACAAUAUCUUUAAAGGGAAGUCGUUUAUAGAUUCAGAAGCAUUUUUCUCUCUUCCUUUUUUGAAGUAUUCUUAUCCUCUUAACUCUUUGCUAUUAUCUCCUCUUGCUCUUUAUGAAUUCAUUCUGUUAUAUAUUAAAAACACUACAAAUAUACUUGGAAGUUUGGAACAGGACAUAUAGAAGAGAAAUGAACAUUAGAAUGUACAUGAAACAUAACUUAUAAUUCCUUCAGGACACAUACCAAUCUAAGAAAGAUUUUCAGGCUUGUUGGAGAUGCUUUCUUUAACGCUUGAACAGUUUCAGAAAUCCAAUGAUCAGCCUUACCCAUAGUUUCUAUCUCCUAAAACAGCAAGACAAAAUUCAGGUAGUUAAAUGGAAUAGGUUCAUCCUUCAUUACGCUAAAGAAUAUUAAUCAGAUACUUUCAAUGGCAUAACUCACACAACUUACAAGAGAAGAUAUUAUUCCCUCAAUUGAUUUUCUUGAGAAGCACUUGUUGAUCACAUCCAUCCUGCAAUGACCCACCACAAAAAGAUAUAAAUGAGAAAUAUACAAGACUAAGCUAGUGUGCUAUGUUUCAAUUAUUGAAAAAAAACUAUUAGAAAUCUAUAAUGAGAAGAAAAGAAUGUUCCUCAAAUGUUCUGAAACUGAAAAGUGUUGAAAUAUGGUACAAAUAUUGCAAAUAUGGUACAAUAAAUAUAAAUUGAUUGGAUAAUAAAUAUAGAUUUGUUUGUAAGAAAUCCUUAAAAUUAAGGGAUUGAGAUUACAAGUUAGUUUAGUAGAUUUGCUCCAGAUUUAGAGUCUUUGGAGAUUUAUUUCUUUUGUUUCAGGAGAUUUAUUUCCUGUGUUUUAGGAGAUUCAUUUUCUUUUACUAGUAUUUCGUUUUUCACUUAAAUACCAAUGUAAUGCUUUUUUUAGAUCAAGAAAAGUAAUUCCAUAAUUAUUGUUUAUAGCCUACAUUUUUCUUCACACAGUAUCAGAGCUCCAGGUUUUUUGUGGAGCCCUGGUCUCUCUUUUUACCACUUUGGGCCUUCGUUGCCAUUUUAUCUUCAAGAGGGUGCAGCCUUAAUUGUUGCAGUUUCAUUGUGACAACAGUUGUUUUCUCUUUGUAAAAUCACCCAUUAGACAACCAGUUGCUGAUUUGCAUCUCCAUGAUGUCUGAUCCAAAAUCAACAUACGGAGGAUUCAAUAUUGAGGAGAUAAAAAGACUGAAAGACCUACCGGGAACACUUUAGAAACCCUUUGAAUUGUACUCUCUUGCUCUCUCAGGUAAUGUUUCUUGUAUGAGUGUCUCACAUAGUGCUAUGGAUGACAUGACAUACUCGCCUCAACUCUUUCAUUCUUGUUGCUAAUGGCUCUUUAGCUACAGUUGCAGGAGAUGGAGAUAUCUCUUUAUCUUCCAAACUUACUCUUAAAAAUGUUUUGCAUGUCCCAAAACUUUCAACAAGUUUUAUCUCCUUAAAAAAACUAACAUAUGACCCGAAUUGCUUUGCAAUGUUUUCCCCAUUUUUGUGUGUUUUAGUCGGGGAGGAGGAUCAGCCUUGCUAAGGAAAGAAUUGGACUUUACUACCUAGAACCAUCUCAAGAAUCCAAAGCUGACUAACCCAUGUCUCUACCUAGCGUAUCAAAUAAAGACACUCUUUGGUUAUACUACUACGCUUAGGACAUCCAUCAUUUUCUGUUUUAAAAAUUAUGAGGCUUGUGAAUUAACUAAACACACUCAUGUACAUUUUCCCAUUAGCAAUAAUAGAAACUCACAACCUUUCCAAUUAAUCCAUAGAGAUAUAUGGGGACCAUAUAUUCUACCUAAUAUCUCUGGGGUGCAUUGGAUUGCACUAGGGUUACUUGGUGCUAUUUGCUUAAACAAAAAUCUGUCAUGAGAACUGUUAUUUCCUUUUUUAUUCAAUGAUUCAAAAUCAAUUCGGGGUCAACAUAAAAUGACAAUGCUAGGGAUUAUUUUAACCAAAUUGUGUCUACUUAUUUUUAAUCCAAAGGGAUUAUUCAUGACUCUUCAUGUCUCUAUACUUCCCAAUAGAAUGGAGUGACAAAGAGGAAAAAUAAGCACUUGCUUAACACCAGUGGAGCAGUUCUCUUUCAAGAGAAAGUUCCAAAAACAAAGUUGUCUUCACUGUUGCAUAUAUGAUAAAUAGACUUCCCUCACACUAGAGGAACAAAGUCCUCUUGAAACCCUUAAAAGAAAAUUCCCUGACAUUAAGAUCUCAAAUGGCCUCAUUACUGGAAUAUUUGGGUGCACAACUUUUGUACUACUUGAUCCCUGGGAUGUUAGAUGUGUCUUUCGUGGUUAUUCAACAACUCAAAAAGGUUACAAGUG
RNAcentral lists this long non-coding RNA (43322 nucleotides) under Phaseolus vulgaris (common bean). RNAcentral's name for it is "long non-coding RNA (PVUL_LNC000533)". Lineage: Eukaryota; Viridiplantae; Streptophyta; Magnoliopsida; Fabales; Fabaceae. The record is from RNAcentral.